RNAcentral lists this ribosomal RNA (431 nucleotides) under uncultured Caldisericum sp. Its description in RNAcentral is "bacterial SSU rRNA". It matches the Rfam family "Bacterial small subunit ribosomal RNA", at positions 355 to 779 of the family's 1533-position model. The record is from RNAcentral. Lineage: Bacteria; Pseudomonadati; Caldisericota; Caldisericia; Caldisericales; Caldisericaceae.
UGGGGAAUCAUGGUCAAUGGGCGAAAGCCUGAACCUGCGACGCCGCGUGAGUGAUGAAGGUCGUAAGAUCGUAAAACUCUUUUCAGGGAGCUUAAAGCUCCGGCUCUAACAGAGCCUGGAGUCUGACUAUCCCUGGAAUAAGCCCCAGCCAACUACGUGCCAGCAGCUGCGGUAAUACGUAGGGGGCGAGCGUUAUUCGGAAUUACUGGGUGUAAAGGGUAUGUAGGCGGCCUGACAAGUCGCGUGUCAAAGUCCAGCGCUUAACGCUGGGUUCGCACGUGAUACUGUCUGGCUAGAGGGCUGGAGAGGUGAGCGGAAUUCCCGGUGUAGUGGUAAAAUACGUAGAUAUCGGGAGGAACACCAGCGGCGUAGGCGGCUCACUAGACAGUUUCUGACGCUAAGAUACGAAAGCGUGGGGAGCAAACAGGAUU